Molecule: transfer RNA, 57 nt
Filed under: Syngamus trachea
Lineage: Eukaryota; Metazoa; Nematoda; Chromadorea; Rhabditida; Syngamidae
Description: tRNA-His
Source: RNAcentral
AGCUUUGUAGUUUAUUAUAAAAUUUAUACUUGUGGAGUGUAAGAGUUUUAAGCUAUA